This 520-nucleotide ribosomal RNA is filed under the name uncultured Acaulospora. Its description in RNAcentral is "SSU rRNA". It matches the Rfam family "Eukaryotic small subunit ribosomal RNA", at positions 569 to 1087 of the family's 1831-position model. The record is from RNAcentral. Lineage: Eukaryota; Fungi; Glomeromycota; Glomeromycetes; Diversisporales; Acaulosporaceae.
AGCAGCCGCGGUAAUUCCAGCUCCAAUAGCGUAUAUUAAAGUUGUUGCAGUUAAAAAGCUCGUAGUUGAAUUUCGGGGUCUGUCCAUUGGUCGGGCUUCACGGUCCGUACUGGUGUGAUGGGUUCCUACCUUCUGAAUAACCAGCAUGCCAUUCAUUUGGUGCGUUGGUGAAGCAGAGCUAUUACCUUGAAAAAUUAGAGUGCUUAAAGCAAGCUAGUGCUUGAAUAGAUUAGCAUGGAAUAAUAAAAUAGGACGGCUUGGUUCUAUUUUGUUGGUUUCUAGGAUCACCGUAAUGAUUAAUAGGGAUAGUUGGGGGCAUUAGUAUUCAAUUGUCAGAGGUGAAAUUCUUGGAUUUAUUGAAGACUAACUUCUGCGAAAGCAUUUGCCAAGGAUGUUUUCAUUAAUCAAGAACGAAAGUUAGGGGAUCGAAGACCAUCAGAUACCGUCGUAGUCUUAACCAUAAACUAUGCCGACUAGGGAUCGGACGAUGUUAAUUUUUAAUGACUUCGUUCGGCGUACC